RNAcentral lists this long non-coding RNA (9138 nucleotides) under Homo sapiens (human). Its description in RNAcentral is "HSALNT0163738". Lineage: Eukaryota; Metazoa; Chordata; Mammalia; Primates; Hominidae. The record is from RNAcentral.
UAUUUUUCCAACAAGAUUAGCACUUUUACCUCCAGCAACUACUACAGCAUUAAAUGAUGAACUUACAGUUUUCAAAAGUAUAUUCAUUAAUUAUGAACAUCUUGACUACACUAAGUUAUCAGAGAAAAGGGAAGUGAUUUAGCUCUUGAUCACAGAGACCCAGAGCAUCAGUAAAUCAAGUGAUGACAAAAGCAAAGAACUCCAUAAUGACUCAGCUAUUCUCAAUCAGGCUGUGUUAAAACCACUCAGGUUGAGCAUGGGGAAGCUCAGCCGGUACAAGUGGUAGUCAGUGUUCCCCUGACAGUAUAAUUUUUAUGGUGUUUGUUUUAUCAAACAUAAAUGUGCAACUUGACUGCCACAAACUUCCAGAAAGAAAAAAAACACAAAGAUAUCAUCGCAGAACAUAAAAUAAGGUCUAUAUUCAGCUUCUCUGGAGAAGAGCAGAAAAAUCUACUGCUGUGAAGCAUGUCUUCUUAUGAAAAGAGUUCAGAAGGAAAAAUGUCUGAGCUUCUCUGGAGAAGAGCAGAAAAUCUGCUGCCGUGAAGUAUGUCCUCUUAUGAAAAGAGUUCAUAUUCAAACACUAACUUUAAAGAUUAUUAUGUGCAACCAACUUAACUGCUCUAUGGCAGAACUGGGAUUAAAAUUCAAGUUUGACAAUUUUCAAAAUCCUUCUCAAAAUUAGCUCAAUGUAACCUUUCCACAAUGUACACAUAUUUCAAAACAUUAUGUUGUGCAUGAUAAACCCAUACAAUUUUUAUUUGCCAGUUGUACAUAAAUAAUUGAUUAAUUAAACCAACCAACCAACACACACCCACACCAAAAACCUUCUUUGAAACUGUAAGCAUGGAAAAUACUGAAGUUUUCACCUGAAUGAAUUAAAAUCUCAAUUUAAAUAUGAUUGAAACCAAAUUAAAUUUGAACUUCUUGUAUUUAUUGAACUUCUGUUAAAUAAAUUGCACGUCCAAAAGGACACUUGUACUUUAUUAGCCUUUUCCAUCUUCCAGCUGGGGAUGUAUGGUAGUGGUAGUGGGAAGUGGGGAAAGGAAUAUAAUUGAGGAAUUAAGUAAAUAAUUCAAAAACCUUUAGAAUGUAAGUGCGAACUCUAUACCAGAAAGUAGAAUUUCACAUUUGCUUUCCAGUGCAUGAAAAGUCAAGGCUAUUGAUGGACAGUCUAUUUCUUAGACAAUGUGAAUUUCUAAAAAUUGACCAAACAAUGAGGUCUAUUUAUUUGAGGAAUAGGAUUCAUAUGCAACACGAGUUCAUACCUCAGACCUUGGAUAAGUUCAACUAAAGUGACACAGCUAUUUAAUCAAAAGAUGAGAGCACUCCAAUGACAACUUCUUAAAUUGAUCUGGAAUUUGAUUGCUGUGUAGGUAUAAUAUUAGCCAAACACAACUUUUGUUUCAUGUGUACUUUUGCAGCUAAGUAACAUAAGUUAUAUAAUCACCUUUAACAUUACUGCCAGAUAUUGUAUGAAUAUUUAAGAAUAACUGCAUUUUAACUUAAAUUAAAAGCCAUUUGUCUUUGAUUAACUAUACUUAUUCCAGAUUGUUAAACAAUGUGCUUGACAUUCACUUGAGAGUUUUGAGAAGGCACGUAGUUUUGUUGUGUUUGCUGGCAGUUCAAUCUUUGUGUAUACACACAUGCAUUUAACGACUGUAAAGAAGAGAUCACAAAUUCGUGAUGCGCAACUAGAACAUAAAUUAUUUUCAUUGCAAGCUAUAACUGCAACGACAAGAGAAGUUUUAUGAUACAUUUUUGUCACUAAUAUGAAUGUUAAAGAGUUGAGAAUUUACGUGUUAGGAGGCACGCUCAACUAGAUUGUGAAACAAUAGUUUCUAACAGCUCUGAAGGAGCUAUUAGAUUGUGUAAAAAAAUGUGUUCUAAAAAGUCCCUAAAUAUGUAUUUAUAUAAUUGGAGCUAUUAUGGUUUAUUGUAUCAAUUACUCAUGUACUAAAGAAGAAAGAACCAACAGCUUAAAACACUUUCAUUAAAGGGGUUGGCAGUUACACACAAGCAACCCAAUCUUGAGCCUUUGAAGAGGUUAAGACAAACAAUGUAAAUGUUCUUGUAAAAUUAUCUGUAAUAUCUCUAAACACAACUUCUACUUGGGAAUAAAAAUAGUGUGUAUUUGUAAUGAUGAUCAAAUAAGGAUUAUAGAAUUGUUACAGGAUGAAAAUCAUACCCCGUACAUUGUGUCAAGCUAUUUUAAAAUAAAAAGAAAUGAAAGUAGGGGAAGAAAAGCCUGAAUUUUUGUAGACACUACCAAGACUGGCUUUCUGAUUUUGUUUAAUUGACAUCUAUAUAUGAAGACACUAAUAAAUAGCCUUUGCUUCAGGUUUUGUUGUUGUUAUUGUUUUAUGCAUUUAAUCUAGAUUGGAGGAAAAGGAAUUCUAUACAGGAAAUGCUAAUUAACAAUACAGAACGAAAGCACAAGAAAUGUGAUGCAGCUUUAAUUGUCAAAUCUUAAAUACUACAGCUUCAGAGAAUGUGUAAAUAAAUUUGUGACAGAAUGUUUUUUGCAGUUUUCAUUCAUUGUCAUUUUCCAGGGGGUUUUGAUGUAAAGAGUUUUCAUUUGCAGAUAUAGAGGACAAAGAUAAUAGUAGGGCAGGAAAUAAUUUACAAACUAGCAGGCUGAAUUAUUAUAAUAAAUCUCACUUGGCUAAAGAUGAUAAUGAUGUGAUAAUAACUGUUUCUUUCCCUAUUAUUCUCUAUGGAGUGAACUUAGUAAAAAUAACUUGGUGGGCAUUUCAACAGACACAUUGGAAGUUUACUAUUUCCUUUGAGUUAGGUAGGGCUGAAUGGUUGAUAUACACUGGGGGAUUUUAACAUUAUACAUAACUUUGCAAGUGUAGAAAUGACCAAUAUAAGCUAAAAAUUUUAAAUUGUUCCACAAGAUAUUCUUGGGCAUUUUUAUCCCCUGGUAGAUUUUCAGACACUGAGGUUCCCCCUAAUGCAAUAUAAAAAUGUUAAAAUAAUACCUAGUUCACAAUUAAGAAUUGAGGUUUCUUAAUGUUCUAUGUAAAUAAUAACAUAAUCAAAACUACUUUUCAAACACCAUGUUUUUUGCUUUUAUUAAUUUUCCUAUCUAGCCCACUAAGUACUGCACUAAUCAACAUAUAUUAUUGGCCAAUUAGCAUGAACAUUAAAACUAGGAAUGUUGGCAUUUUAAUCCUAAGAAAUAAAUAACUCAAUAGGGGAAAUAUGUCACCUACCACCAUUCAGCUAAUUGAGUAAAGAAAAACUAUAUCUACAUAAUGCACAUAAAGUUAGUAUAAGUUUAGUUGGGCAUUUGUCUUGAUAGAUGUUAAAAUCCCUGUAGAAUUUACUUUGAUUAUUAAACUCAAAAAUUUUUUUUUUGUUUUACAAAAAUAUUUUUUACACUCCAGGAAUUUACUUUAAUGAUAAUAUUUACAUUUCUAUAUUUUUGAAUUUAAUAAAAUAAUUAUAAUAAGUACAAGUAAGUGUGUAUUGAAUACUGAUUAUGUACCAGUCAUUGUGCUAAAUACUUUAUAUGAAAUAACCCUUUUAGUAUCAAAAUAGCCCUAGGAAGAAGCUGGGGGAGCUCAUGAGGUUAGCAAGAAACCUUAAACAAAUAGCUGGGAAGUGACAAAGAAUUACAUUUAAUAAAAAGAAGUAUCAUUACUUUAAUUUUGUUAUUCUGCUUAUAUAUGUUGGUUCACUUUGCCAAGAAAUUCCCUCAAUCCCAUUCCCCUUUCAUACUGAUAAAUAAAAGCUGUCUAUAAUUCAAAGUUCAAUUUAUAUUUUCUCUAAGAAGCCUUUCUACAUCUCUUUACCUGAAGCAUCUCCAACAUUCCAAACUUCCAUAGUAGAAGGUAAACCUUCAUUGAGCACCCAUUAUACUCUACUCUUUUAUUAAAUUAUGCAUACAAGAAUUUAUUUAGCUUAAUUGUAUUGUGACUUUAUUUUUUAUUUUGUGGGUAUAUAAUGGGUAUAUAUGUAUGGGUUAUAUGAGACAUUUUGAUACAGGCAUGCAAUGUCUAAUAAUCAUAUGUGGGUAAAUGGGGUAUCUAUCACCACAAGCAUUUAUUCUUUGUGUUACAAACAACCCAGUUACACUCUUCUAGUUAUUUUUAAAUGUACAGCUAAAUUAUUUUUGAUUAUACUCACCCUGUUAUGUUAGCCAAUACCAGGUCUUAUUCUAUCCUAAUUAUAUUAUAAAUGACAGGAGGUCAGGAAUUAUGGUUCUGUUAUACUAGUGUCUUCUGCAGACUCCACUAAAAUAAGCAUUUGCUGAAUUUAUGCUGUAUUCCUCUAUUUAUAAAUACAGUAUACUUAGUUUAAUAAAAUUCAAAUUACAUUUUAUGAUAUCAUGUAAAGCAAUAAAAAUUCAUGCACUAUAGAAAAAUAUAAUUGUUCUACUUCUAAUAAGAUAGUUAAAUAGAAAAAUAAUACAAGAUACCAUAAUGACUAAUAAUGUCAAUUAAGGACCACAGUAAUAAAGGACCACAGUAAUAUAAAACAGGAUAACAAAAUUGAAAAAAAUUUACAUUGAUUAUUUUUGAUACUAUUGCAUCCUUUAGAAAAAGAUAGUCAACACUAACCCUUCAUAAAAUCUACUGCAAUAAUAAUUUAAAUAAUGGUUUUGAUUUUAUUUUGUGUCCAUAUUUCAUUAAUUAAAACAUUACUCGGCCGAGCAUGGUGGCUCAUGGCUGUAAUCCCAGGACGUUGGGAUCCAUCCACGAGGUGGAUGGAUCACCUGAGAUUAGGAGUUUAAGACAAGCCUGGCCUACAUGAUGAAACCCUGUCCCUACUAAAAAUACAAAAAAACAGCUGGGCAUGGGGGUGGGUGCCUGUAAUGCCAGCUACUGGAGAGGCUGAGGCAAGGAGAAUCGCUUGAACCCAGGAGGCAGAGGUUGCAGUGAGCCGAGAUCACACCAUUGCACUCCAGUCUGGGCAACAAGAGUGAAACUCCAUCUCAAUUUAAAAAAAAAAAUUACUCAAAGAGAAAAGCAUACGCGUUAGCAGAAAAUACUUUGAAAUUUCCCAGAAUGUAAGCUAUCUUUUUCAAAUUAAUGACGUAAAGUUAUAUAUGAGAAAAGGUCUUGGUGGGUAGGGGGGAUUGAGGUUUCAUAAAAUCAGUGAUUAAAAUAUUUUAAUAUAUUCUUUUUUAUAUUUAUUUAGAUAUCACCUACAUUUAAAGCAGUUAUUUGGUAAAUUCUGCUUUAUUUCUGAUAAUAGUAGACAGAGAUGAGAAGUAACAAUAAUGUUUUCAAAUACCUAAAUGCCACCUUUUUUUAAAAAAAAAAGCAAAUAGAAUUCUUGUGAACUUCCUUCUGACAUUUUUAACAAGUUUUUCUGUUCACAUAUUGUUUUUAUUAAAGCAUUUGCAUUUGCACUUUGUGAAAUAAAAUUUGAUACACCAGAAACCUGUUCCACCAUUAUCUCUUGAGACCUUGAGGUAAUAAAAAGUUCAUACUACAGCUCUUCAUCUUCUUUUACAACUACUGCAAAUAAAGGGCACCUAUCUGGGACACAAAAACCAAAGAGAAGAAAAAUAUGUCAUUUUGCUUUUGCUAUUGUUGAUGAUGAUGAUUUUAAAGAUGGCAAAUAAAUACACUGAUUUUUUUAUCUCUUAAAAUGGUCCAUCCAAGGCAUUCCCAUGUAACCUUUCCAUAUUUAAAAUAUUAAGUUGAACAUAAUGCCCAUUCAAAAAUAUGUUCUUGGCACACACCAGACACUUAAAUGCAAAAACAAAUUUCUUUUUUUUUUUGAGAUGGAGUUUUGCUCUUGUUGCCCAAGCUGGGGUGUGAUGGCGUGAUCUCGGCCCACUGCAACCUCCACCUCCCUGGUUCAAGCGAUUCUCCUGCCUCAGCCUCCCGAGUAGCUGGGAUUACAGGCAUGCGCAACCACGUCCGGCUAUUUUUUUGUAUUUUUAGUAGAAACGGGGUUUUUCCAUGUUAGCCAGCUGGUCUUGAACUCCUGACCUCAGGUAAUCCACUCGCCUUGGCCUCCCAAAGUGCUGGGAUUACAGGCGUGAGCCACCGCACCCGGCCAACAAAUUUCUUAUAUGUUGAAAGUACUGACUCUGAACAACUGGAGUAUAGCUAGCACAUCUCUGAAGUUUGGAAACUGACAUAGGCAAAGCAGAUCACCAGAAUGUAAUUACAUGUGGCUGUAGCUAAACUAUCCUUGGUAGGCACUUCUAUAUUUAUAAUGUUACUAAAUAAAUAUGAAAACACAUUAUAUUUAUCCACCAAGGUUAUUUUCUAGAAAAAUUAUGUUCUACACAAUUUAAGAAAGUAAUGAAGAAUGUUUGGCAUAACUAUAGUGUCAUGAGUAUAAAAGGUAAUGACCAACUUCUCUUAGCAAAUGGACACAUUUUUUUAAAAUUUGCCUAUGAGAUUGUCUAUGAAAAUAAAUGUUUACUAGAGAAAGUCAGAUUUAGCAAUACUAAAUAUGUACUUGAAUUAUUUCUCAUAUGAAAUUUACAUGGAGGCUGGGUGCAGUGGCUUACACCUGUAAUCCCAACACUUUGGGAGGCCAAGCUGGGCCGUCAGGAGGUCAGGAGUUUGAGACCAGCCUGGCCAACAUGGUGAAACCCCGUCUCUACUAAAAAUACAAAAAAAUUAGCAGAGCGUGGUGACACGGGCCUGUAGUCCCAGCUAACCAGGGGCUGAGGCAGGAGAAUCGCUUCAUCUAAGAAGGCGGAGGGUGCAGUGAGGUGAGAUUGCCUCACUGCUCUCCAGCCUGGGUGACAGAGCGAGCCUCCCUCUCCAAAAACAAAAGAAGAAAAGAAAUUCACAUGGAAUUAAUGUUUAUCUAGUAUUUAUUCCUCCUAUGGUAAGAGUUUUAUAUAUUAUCAUAAUGAUAGGCCAGAAUUUUAAAUGCACUAAGAGCUGACACAUAAUCUGCUGGUUGAAUGAAAGAACUUAGCUAAUUCCAUGGAAACUUCUAAUUCUUUUUUUUUUGUUGUUGUUGUUUUCUUUUUGAGACGGAUUCUCACUCUGUCGCCCAGGCUGGAGUCCAGUUGGCGCGAUCUCGGCUCACUGCAACCUCCGCCUCCUGGGUUCAAGCAAUUCUCCUGCCUCAGCCUCCCAAGUAGCUGGGAUUCCGUGUGCCGCCGCACCUGGCUAAUUUGUAUUUUUAGUAGAAAUGGGGUUUCACCUUGUUAGCCAGGAUGGUCUCGAUUUCCUGUCCCUCGUGAUCCGCCCACCUCGGCCUCCCAAAGUGCUGGGAUUACAGGCGUGAGUCACCGCACCCACCCAGAAACUUCUAAUUCUUAAAGGACCAAGAGAUAUGCUUAUGAAGAGAGCUGCUUCUUAGAAGAUUGUUAUAGGGGACUAGAUGAAGUUAAAGUUUGUCAAUGAGAAAAACUCACUUGAGGCUUGGAAAGUGGAAUGAAGAGAUAGCACAUGAUUUCCUGGAGCAGUUGCGGAGACAUCUGUGAGCAGUUGUAAACAAAAGGAUUUCUGUUUCAGUAAUUUAAUGGAGUAAGUUAUUCAAGCCGAAGGCAGACCCAGAAGUAAUAAUUCUACUUAGGCUAAUCUAACACUUGGCAAUAUAAAUUGAUUGUUUCUUUUGUAAUUAGUUGACAGCGUGCGCCCUUGCUUGCUCUUGGCGCCUCCUCGGCCUUGGCGCCCACUCUGGCCACGCUUGAGGAGCCCUUCAGCCCACCGCUGCACUGUGGGAGCCCCUUUCUGGGCUGGCCAAGGCCAGAGCCGGCUCCUUCAGAUUGCAGGGAGGUGUGGAGGGAGAGGGGCGAGCAGGAACUGGGGCUGCGCGUGGUGCUUGCAGGCCAGCACGAGUUCCGGGUGGGCAUGGGCUCAGCGGGCCCCCGACUCGGAGCAGCCGGCCGGGCCCCGCUGGCCCGGGGCAGUGAGGGGCUUAGCACCUGGGGCAGCAGCUGCUAUACUCAAUUUCUUGCCGGGCCUUAGGUGCCUUCCCGCGGGGCAGGGCUCAGGACCUGCAGCCCGCCAUGCCUGAGCCUCCCCCCAUCCGUAGGCUCCUGUGCGGUCCAAGCCUCCCAGACAAGCGCUGCCCCCUGCUCCACACCGGCCCCCAGUCCCAUUGACCACCCAAGGGCUGAGGAGUGCGGGGCAAACGGCGCAGGACUGGCAGGCAGCUCCACCUGUGGCCCUAGUGCCGGAUUCACUGGGUGAAGUCAGCUGGGCUCCUGACUCUGGUGGGGACUUGGAGAACCUUUAUGUCUAGCUAGGGGAUUGUAAAUACGCCAAUCGGCACUCUGUAUCUAGCUCAAGGUUUGUAAACACACCAAUCAGCACCCUGUGUCUAACUCAGGGUUUGUGAAUGCACGAAUGGACACUCUGUAUCUGGUGGGGACUUGGAGAACCUUUGUGUGGACACUAUCUAGCUAAUCUAGUGGGGACGUGGAGAACCUUUGCGUCUAGCUCAGGGAUUGUAAACACACCAAUCAGCACCCUGUCAAAACAGACCACUGGGCUCUCUGUAAAAUGGACCAAUCAGCAGGAUGUGGGUGGGGCCAGAUAAGAAUAAAAUCAGGCUGCCGGAGCCAGCAGUGGCAACCCGCUCGGUCCCCUUCCACACCAUGGAAGUUUUGUUCUUUCGCUGUAUGCAAUAAAUCUUGCUGCUGCUCACUUUUUGGGUCCACGCUGCCUUUAUGAGCUAUAACACUCACCACGAAGGUCUGCAGCUUCACUCCCGAAGCCAGCGAGACCACGAACCCACCGGGAGGAAGGAGCAACUCCAGACGCGCCACCUUAAGAGCUGUAACACUCACCGCGAAGGUCCGCAGCUUCACUCCUGAGCCAGCGAGACCGCGAACCCCACCAAAAGGAAGAAACUCCGAACACAUCUGAAGCACUGUAUAGGAUGUCUGAUUACCGUGAGAGCAUGAGCUGUGCUGAAUCUCCAGCUAGCCACAAUGAAAAGCCUUUUGGAGAGAGAAUGUCCAGUCAACCUCCCAGCUGUUCCAGCCUUUCCAACAGAGGUAUCAAACAGAGGAAAAGGCCAUGUGAGGACACAGCAAGAAGGUGGGUGAUUUGCAAGCUAGGAAGAGAGUCUUCACCAGAAACCAAAUUUGCUAGUAUCUUGCUCUUGAAAUUCAAGCCUCCAGAAUCGUGAAAAAUAAGUUGGUUGUUUAAGCCACCCAAUCAGUGGUACUUUGUUAUGGCAGCCCAAGCACACUAAAGCAUC